Molecule: long non-coding RNA, 701 nt
Organism: Panicum virgatum (switchgrass)
Lineage: Eukaryota; Viridiplantae; Streptophyta; Magnoliopsida; Poales; Poaceae
Exons: 2
Source: RefSeq, a predicted model, not a curated record
UGUAAACCAGAACUCAUCAUAUAUAGUAUGUACAAAUUCGAUGUCAAAUUGCUCGGCAGCAAUAAUCCAAUUGGUGUUACAAUAUUGAUGUGUCUAUGGAAAAGAAACACUUCAAUACUAAAGCUGCUUCACCAAUUCCUCGAUUAGCCUAGUCGGAGAGCGGCAGCCGUAGACGGAACCACACGGACCAGGCGGCAGCUACGGACGGUGGACCACGCCGAGGAGAGGUGGAGGGGAGUCGCCAAGUCGGGGGCCAGGAUUGUCGUCGUCGACCGUCAGGGGUGAAGGCGGCGUCGAGCGUCCGCGCAGGAGCCACCGUCGGGUGGGGCCGGCAGCAGGUGGUGGCGCUGGCCGCCGGGGAGCGCACGCGCCGGCCUCCGUCCCUGCGCCCCUGCUGCCCGCGCAGGCCACUUGGGACCCGCGCACCGACCGCCGUCCCUGCACCCCUGCUUGGCGCCGGGGACCAUGCGUCUACUUCCGAUUCGCGAGUGGGGCGGCGGGCGGAAGCCACGGGAGUGCGAGAUGGGGUCGCGAGGUGAGGCGGCGGGCGGAGGCCAGGGGAGGGGAGGGGAGGGGAUCUGAGUCUAGAGAGGAAAGGGAUAGGGUUUCUUCUGCUUUUAUAUUAUGGGAGUGUGAUUGGAGCCAUUGGAUCAGAGAUGAAUGGUCAAAAAUAGUUGGGCUCUUUGGGCUGAAAUGGGCUU